Molecule: ribosomal RNA, 545 nt
Filed under: bacterium enrichment culture clone Cont271_3130
Lineage: Bacteria
Description: bacterial SSU rRNA
Rfam family: Bacterial small subunit ribosomal RNA
Source: RNAcentral
AGAGUUUGAUCCUGGCUCAGAACGAACGCUGGCGGCGUGCUUAACACAUGCAAGUCUAGCGAGAAAAGGGGCUUCGGGCCCUGAGUACAGCGGCGAACGGGUGAGUAUCGCGUGGGAAACCUGCCUUCGAGUGGGGGAUAACACUCCUAACGGGGUGCUAAUACCGCAUGACACCCUCGGAUCGCAUGGUCCGAGCGUCAAAGGUGGCCUCUACUUGUAAGCUACCGCUUGAAGAUGGUCCCGCGUCCGAUUAGCUAGUUGGCGGGGUAACGGCCCACCAAGGCGACGAUCGGUAGCUGGUCUGAGAGGAUGGUCAGCCACACUGGGACUGAGAUACGGCCCAGACUCCUACGGGAGGCAGCAGUCGAGAGGCUUCGGCAAUGGGGGAAACCCUGACCGAGCGACGCCGCGUGAGGGAUGAAGCUCUUCGGGGUGUAAACCUCUUUUCUGGGGGAAGAAACCUAUGGGGGUCGAACAGGGCCUCAUGGCUGACGGUACCCCAGGAAUAAGCUCCGGCUAACUCCGUGCCAGCCGCCGCGGUAAUA